GGAGGAAGUGCUUUCAGGCAUCUGAGCAAGAAGAAGACAGUUAGAAGAGAUUUUUUUACUCCAGCCUGUCCUUCCUCUGAAGGGAAUAUCUACAAUUCCACAGUCACAGUAAACAGACCUUCAAAUGCAAACAUUUUGGGUGAAGACUGGCAGGAGAAAAAUGAGUAACGGGUCGCUCACCACUUCCCAGCUACGGAAACAAAACCAUCAGCGGUUCCAAUCGGAUCAAACGCUUUGCUCUGCACUGAUGACAGAAGAAAACAACACAAGCCUGGCAGUUCCAAGCACUUUGAAAUCCAAGUGCUGACAUUACCAGUAACAAGUUCUGCCCUUACUCUGGAGAAAGCAGCCAACCAAAAUGAGUUUGAUGCUAAACCACAUGUAACACUACUGCUCUCCACAUACAGCAACACCACAACUACCAGUGUAACCAGCUGCUUCCCUAACACAGACACUGCCUUUAGAGAUAUUAUCAAAGUCAAACUUUUCUUAUAAAUAGCUGUUAUUUUGUCACAAGGGUAAGCUAGCUAUUUUCUUUUAGAAGAAAGUUCUGUUCUCAGAAAAAAAAAAAGAUUUUCCAUCUCUUACAGAAAAGGAUUUUUUUUUAUUAUGUUCACUUUCCCCUUUAAAUUUUUGCAUACCUUUGAUUGUGUUCUUUAGAGACUAUAAAAUUUCCUGCAUAAUCAAAAAACUAGCUUGACACAAUACUUUUUAAAAAGCU
Molecule: long non-coding RNA, 721 nt
Organism: Haemorhous mexicanus (house finch)
Lineage: Eukaryota; Metazoa; Chordata; Aves; Passeriformes; Fringillidae
Exons: 3
Source: RefSeq, a predicted model, not a curated record